Molecule: ribosomal RNA, 468 nt
Filed under: uncultured bacterium
Lineage: Bacteria
Description: partial 16S ribosomal RNA
Rfam family: Bacterial small subunit ribosomal RNA
Source: RNAcentral
GACGAACGCUGGCGGCGUGCCUAAUACAUGCAAGUCGAGCGAAAAGGCCCUGCUCUUGUGCCUUGCUCGUUAGCCGCGCACGGGUGUGUAACGCGUGGAUCCUCUCCCUGUCAUUGGGGUAACACCACGGAACACGGGCGCUAAUCCCGUAUAACCUCCUGAACCGCGGGGUGGAACGGUGAGAUGCGGCGGUGGGGGAUGGACUCGCGGCUUACCAGUUUGUUGGUGAGGUAGUGGCUUACAAAGGUUUUGAAGGGUAGCCGGCCUGGGAGGGUGACAGGGCACAAUGGGACUGAGAUACGGCCCAGAAUGCAACGGGAGGCAGCAGUGGGGAAUAUGGCGGAAUGGGCGGACGCGUGAUGCAACAGCGUCGCGUGCGGAAAGACGGGCUUCGGGUUGUAAACCACUUUCGAAUGUAACGAGGAGUGAGUGACGGUAACGAGUAAAGAAGCAACGGCUAACUACGUG